AAAAAAUAACAAUUUGUAAAACACUAUAGCUGCAUAAAUGUCGAAUUUUCAACUAAAAUUAAACCAUAGGUACACAGAUAUUUUCUAGUUUAUUAUGUAGCUAAGUUUCAACACUGCUCACUUCUCGUACACGAGACGUUUGGCUCUUGGUCUUAUCUGACCUUCUAAUGAGCUUUGCAAACGUAAAGCGUAAUAAUAUGCAUUGCCAAAUCCACGUGUAAUGGUCCCUGCGAGAUCGAAAGUUUUCCGUUGUAUUUUAUUAAUUUGCGUCACAACGCAUAAUCGUCACGCUUAUUCGACAAAUCGAAACCGAUUUGAUUUUAUAUUUCGCGCAGUCAUGAAUAAAACUGAUCAGCAAUUUUCAACCACACGUGAUAGGAUUUAUCUGUUUAUACCAAUAUAAGUAUGUAGUAGGAUGGUACAAAAAAGUACCCUUUUUGGAAGGGGGUACAUGGGCAUUUUUGCUUAUAAAAACUGCACAUUUUUUACGUAUCAAUUACCGUAACUCCCAUAGACUGUAUGCAAGCUUUAUUCAGAUUUUUCGCAAAAUGCGUUGGUGAAUGUUGAAACAUAUUACAGAUUUUAUUUGUGCAAUAAAAUAUCCGAAAUAUGAUAUUCGCCAACAGUUGACAACACUGACCCAAAAUGUGUUUGGCGAAUGUCAAUUUUUAAAGUAAUAACUAGGAAUCAAAAUUUCUGAAAAAAAAGCUUUCCGAAACAUGGAAUAAUUGGGCAAUUUCGGAAAAUUCUCUUCAAAAAUUAAUUUUGUAUUGUUUUAUUAUUUCCUAUAAAUUGCAUGUGGGUUAUAAUUGACUAGUUUCCUGGCUUUAAAGAUAAUAUAACUCGCAAGUAGUUAGGUAAACAUUCUAUAGAGUAUAUUAUAUAAUAACAUAUUGAUAUUUGUACAAUAUUAUAACGCUUAUAUAAAUAUUAAAUAUACGUAUAAUAUAAUCCGUAAAUGAAAAGAAAUCGUUUUUGCCCUGUGACCUACCCGACGUGGUUUAGCAUAAAUUCCAUUAAAAUAUUCAAUUUUUAUAUUUUAUAUUUUCCAUUAAAAUUCCGAGCUCCCGAGGAUGUCAGCGUAAUAUGGAGCCAGGAAUAUUUGAAAUGUUUGAUAUUAUAAUAUCAUUUGCAAUGAUUUUUUUCCUUAUCAGACGUACCGGGCGGAGGAGCGAGGAAACUGACCCAGACCAAAAAUACAAAAUGGCGAUCCUUUCAACAGUGAUAAUCUAGGUAGAUCAUUAUCUUAGCAAAAAUAUAUAUAAUAUAUUAUAUUAAUUCCAGUUGGUUCGUUUUUACAAAGACCGAUAUUUUUUGCAUUUUCGUUGAAAUCCAUGCCGCUCGCUGAAGUCCAUAAAGACCGUAUAGUGUAUUGUCAUAAUAUUGUAUCCCUUCAUUGCCUUUUUUUUUUUUCUAAGGCCAUACAACCGGUUUAUUGAAAUCACUUUCCCAUUUUCAUACAACGAUUGUCGUUAAAUCGUGUUAUUUUUUCCAGGGUGAUUUAUUCGGUUUUACCGCGUAUAUCUUAACUUGGCAUUCUUGAGUUCGGUUAUACGUUUAUGUAUUGUCACGUUAAAAUAGAAAAUGUUCUAUUUCACAUAUAAUUCCAUCCCUAAAAAAAUAAUUUUUUUCCCCCAUUCGUGAUUAGGUCAAUUUAGAAUAAAUUAUCAAAUUUUAGCGAAAAUUUCAAGAUUAAAGAAACCGUGUAAUUUUAACAACAUUGUGUAUCUAUACAGUGUACAUUCUACAGUCUUACCUAUGUAUUUCUAUACAUAGGCAACUGAAGAACGAAUAAAACUUAAGAAAAAAAUUUUAAAAACCAAUAUUUUUUACAUCCUCCUUGCGGUUUUCUCUUAACAGUAACAUAAUCGUUAUGAAAGUUUUUUCUCUAAAACUACACAAAUAAUAUAAAAAUAAAACAAAAAAACUUUUCUUAUUAUUUUGACCAUAUUAAAACUUUUUUU
Non-coding RNA from Cinara cedri, 1964 nucleotides. Lineage: Eukaryota; Metazoa; Arthropoda; Insecta; Hemiptera; Aphididae. The record is from the annotation of a GenBank genome assembly.